Mustela erminea (ermine) is the source of this 73-nucleotide non-coding RNA. The record is from the annotation of a RefSeq genome assembly. NCBI's taxonomy places the organism in Eukaryota, Metazoa, Chordata, Mammalia, Carnivora, Mustelidae.
ACCUGGCUGGCUCAGUUGGUAGAGUGUAAGACUCUUGAUCUCAGGGUCGUAGGUUCAAGCCCCACGUUGGAUG